RNAcentral lists this small RNA (29 nucleotides) under Bombyx mori (domestic silkworm). RNAcentral's name for it is "ovarian small RNA-28926". Lineage: Eukaryota; Metazoa; Arthropoda; Insecta; Lepidoptera; Bombycidae. The record is from RNAcentral.
UCGGAGACUACCAGAACCUUCUCCGGCGG